Long non-coding RNA from Anas platyrhynchos (mallard), 2862 nucleotides. RefSeq lists it as uncharacterized. Lineage: Eukaryota; Metazoa; Chordata; Aves; Anseriformes; Anatidae. The record is from RefSeq and is a predicted model, not a curated record.
AUUUAGAGACCUUGAGUCCUUGCUCUUGGAGCAGGUGCCAGGUGUGAACAGGAUAUGCCAAGGUUUCAUUAUAUAGCUCAGUGCUUUCCAGGCUCUCUCUUUUGGAGGCCAGCUCCAGAUGACUCAAAGGUAUCAUCCUAUCUAAUGAAUUAGAAUAAAGCAGCAACUCAAAAUCUGGUGAAAACUCCAGAAGUCCUUUGAAGUCUACGACCAAGAUUGAAGGCACUGAUGUGCAGUGGAAGAGCUUGGGCUAACUGGCUAACUUCAAAACUAAGAUUGCCAAGAUGGGCAGAGCUGGGGAGCCCUGGAAGGCACUGGAGUCAGCCCAAUCCUGCUGUCCAGCAGGUCACUCACAUAUCUCGUGUCCCGGGGGUUCUGGUGCUCAUGUGCAUGGAGCUGUGAGAAGGUGGAGCUGAGAAAAGAGGCAGCAAACAUUACCAUGGCUAGGUUGUUGGAUGUGGUCCAGCUACUGUUUUCUGGGCAAAAAAAAAAAAUUUUCUUCAGUGGCUGUGGUUCUGCUUUAUGAUCUUAUACUUGAAAAGUACUUUAUGACCAUUAUUUGGUGCAACAUGGUGUGCAGAGCCUGGGGAUUCAGAGACAGGUGGUACGUCUAUGCUGCAGAGCACAGAGCUAGGCGAGUAAACAGCAGGGGUCCUGGAGGCAGAAAAUUGUCUGUUAGACAUUUAUUUGCUGCAGUUCAUAUAACAGUGCUGGUGCAUCUACAUGUUGUUCUGGAACUAGUCCUGUUCAACUCACAUCCUAGAGAUUGGGCAGGCCCUUGUCUGAGAGAUUUCUCUGCAAACUUACUAAGUGCUUUUUAUUCCUCCCUGCCUCAUCCCAGUCUCAGAAGUGUGAGUCAUUAAAGAUGCUCAAGCCUUGAACGCUAUGGGGAGAAAAGUCUAGAGCUGUAUGGAAAUGGAUUGUGAGGACAUGGAAAUAAUCUCCUUCACAGCAUCUCUGCUGUCACCACAUCUCUUGGGGAUUCCUUUUCCCAUCCAUGGUUCACUGAGUGUACGCCAUCUGCUAGGGGAUGUUCUGGGGAAGCUCCUGGUGCCCAAGGCUGUGCUGUUCUCCUGCAACAUGGUGGGAGUUAGUAUUUUUAGUUGCAUUUCUUGGUUGAGAAAUCACUGAUGGGAAGAACAUGCGCUGGUUACAAGCAAUACAUGCUGAAAAGUAAGGAUUGUGAAGGAUCUCAAAUUGCUUAAAUCUAUUCAUGUGUGUAUAUUUCAGAUACAUGCUUCAUUAUGUCCCUGGAUUCCUGGUCAGUGUCUCUGAGAUAAUUGUCUGGUCUUUGCUACCACUGUUCUAGCAUGACAUCAGGCAGCAAAAUAGAGCAGUUGGAGACCUUUCUCUGUUGUCUGGCAGUUUGACACCUGGACACACUGAGAUCCCAGAAGAGUUCUGUGUUUGGAGACUGGGUCUGAGCAAAGAGACCUCUCUCUUCUUUCUUCAGAUGAAGAGACCUUGUAUAUGUGCUUGAAAUGGGAAGUACACAAAUCUCAGAAUUGUGUCAAUUAUUUUUAAUGAAUUCCAGUUAAUGCAUGUGCAAUUGGGUCUAAACCUGGAAUAUAGGCAUGAGCCUAUAUGUGUGUGUUCAAGCAUGGUAGCAUUGGUCAAAACUCUGUGGUUCCUGACUACCAGGCUUAGUUGUAACCAACUGAGCUCCAGCCCAGCUCCAGUUGCACAUAGCCUGAAUUUCUGAGCACAGGAAAUCUAAAGAUGGAACAAGACCUUUACAUUGAAGUCUGCCAGCACCUGUGGGAGUAAAUGGAGAAGGCUGUCUCCUAGCACAGUCCAGAUGCGUUGCAAGUCAUGAAAUAGUCCUGUCUCUUGAAAUUUCCAGCCUGAUCUGGAGACUGGUGCCUUCCUGAUGUAAUGGUAGUGACAGUCACCAGCAGCUGUAUGCUUCGAUGUCCACUCGCAUCAAAUGCUACACCUAGAUUGCAUUCUGGUAGGCAGUCUUUAACAGCACUGAGAUGGGCUGUGAUAACAAGGCUUUAACAGAUUUGUAAAACUGCUGCCCUAUUCAUAACUGCCAUGCAGUCUUAGAAUGCCAGGUAUUUCUUCUUGUAAGGUACUGUUUUCCGAGUCCUCAUAUGUGCCCUUAUAUUCAGAUAGGCCACACAUCUGUACACUACUUCAGGACUGAUUGUUAUUGGGGUGUGUGUGUGUUCUCUUUGUUUUCUAUCACAGGGCCUUCAAGGAAUCCCUUUGAUAUACUAGGUAAUCUUUUUGUAAAGGGGAGAGGACAGCUGUGGCCAGAGGACACUGUUUCACAUCUGUUCAGGUUCACCUGUAGGUUGCCCACAGAGGGUAUUUCUUAUCGUAUGCAAGCUGUGUACCUGCUCUAUUCUCUACAGACCCAAGUGAGUUAUAUUCAUCUCAGAUGAUUUCCAGAAGGCUGGUUGUGCCUAUCUGGACUUCUGAUGUCAGGAAAGGAGAAAACAAAGUUAAGCCUUUAAACAGGAGCAAAACAAAUUUAUGACUCCUCUGAAACUCUGUAAGAAAGAGGAGAUGAGGGGAAGGAACAAUGAUUAAAGUAAAUUUGCAGUCUCAUUUAAUAAGUUAUUACUGGGUUGGGGAAAAGCUGGCAGAAUAACAUUUCUGAAGCCUUUAAAACAAUUCCAGCUUGAUGGGAAAACCUCUGAGCCUUCCAGGAAUAAAUCCUGUGCUAACAAGGAUGCUAUAUUUUAUUUCCUUCUGGUAAUAUCUAUGGACAAAUCAAGAACAGAGCCCCACUGUGCUGUGAGCUGUACAGAGUCGAGGUGGUUCAGAAGAGUCCCCCAGGGAAGGAGACAGUGAAGGGGUGAGAUGAGAUAAGCAGAAAGCAUGUAGGAGACAAGGAGGAAAAUGAGUAGCACC